RNAcentral lists this ribosomal RNA (381 nucleotides) under Triticum aestivum (bread wheat). Its description in RNAcentral is "partial small subunit ribosomal RNA". Lineage: Eukaryota; Viridiplantae; Streptophyta; Magnoliopsida; Poales; Poaceae. The record is from RNAcentral.
AUGGAGAGUUUUCAUGACUACAAGAUGGUGAAUAACCGUUCUGUGGUUGAACAAGCUCAUGAGAUACAGUGCAUUGUGAAGGAACUUGAACUCCUUAAAUGUGUUCUACCCGACAAAUUCGUGGUUGGGUGCAUGAUUGCAAAGUUGCCUCCUUCAUGGAGGAAUUUCGCCACAACUCUGAAGCAUAAGAGACAGGAGAUAUCAGUUGAAAAUCUGAUUGCAUCUCUUGAUGUUGAAGAAAAAGCUCGGGCUAAAGAUACCACUGAAAAAGGAGAUGAGGUUCAGCCUACUGCUAACAUGGUGCAGAGGUACCCACAGAACAAGAACAAAGGGAAGAACAAACCUGUUUCCAACAAGUCGCAAGGGAUUCUUCCGUCCUAA